This is a long non-coding RNA of Grammomys surdaster, 2521 nucleotides long. RefSeq lists it as uncharacterized. The transcript has 2 exons. Lineage: Eukaryota; Metazoa; Chordata; Mammalia; Rodentia; Muridae. The record is from RefSeq and is a predicted model, not a curated record.
AGCUGACCUCUUUGGUCUCCAACCCUGAAUAGAGGGACAAGGACAGGAACAAAAACUGUCUUUGGGGAUAUGGCAGUGAGGUCUGACCAAAGAGCAGAGAUGUGUGGAGACCAUACCAUGAACACAACUCUGGACCCGGGCUUCGACUCAAUAAGAUGUUUCCCUGAGACAUGCUGCUUAUGAAACUACAGCCCUCAUCUCAGAACACUAACCAGAUGCUGAGCCUCCACUCCUCCCUGGUGCUCUAGAGGGAUGAGACAGAGAUCAGCGUUGGAGUCUGUGGUGUCCCUUGCUGGAUAAGCCAUUCUAAAGCUGUUUAGUCAGCGCUGCUGAGAAAGGUGGCUUAGUCUAUUUUGUGUUGCUAAACCAAAAUAAUAGGGGCUGAGUAAGUCAUUAAAAAAAAAAAAAGAGGUGGAUACCUCUGAUCAGCUACUGGUAGGAUAGUAGAAGGAAGCAGAAGAGGGCAUGGGGUAAGAGUGGACUCAGAGAGUAAGUGGAGGACGCCAGCUGUGACUACUCCAGUACUGAGUCCCAAUCCAGGCUUGGAAGAACUAACCCAGUCAAGUGGAAACUUCUGGUUUGUUUGGAAAGUCAGUUAUGUCAAACGAUCUUUUGCUGGAGCACACACGGGAAAGAAUGUUUUCCUGAAGCAGACGCAGGUGAAAGGAUGUUUGGAUACAGCAAACACGUGAACUGACGCGUGAUGAAGGAGUAUAAAUAUGACCCCACAGACAGUGGGAGACGAGUACUGCGCAUUGGUUAGCUCUGCCUCGCUAUUCUUUCCCAACGACAUUCAUGCAUUGUUUCACCUUACAUAGUGUUGUCAAGUUCAACUUGUGGUAACACCACAAUUUAGGGAAACUGGCCAAAGAGCUGCUUGUGAAGUUCCUGUGGCAGCGUAUGGCCUCUUCCUUGAGGUUUCUUCAGGACUGGACUGUAGCUGCUGGUUUGUGUGUGGUGUCUGCCUGUCUAGAGGACUGGUCUGCAGCUGCUGAAUCAUAUUUGGUGUUUGCUAUGGGACAGAACUGCUGGCAAAGACAAUUGAGCUCACCUCCAAAGAACUAUUGCUGAACAGGUCCACUUCCCCCAUAUUUUAAUAACUUUUCUCUUCCAAUACCGCUGCUGGGUGGUGGGGACCCUUAUUAAAAGUAGGUUGCCAAAAAUGUAUUUCUACAACCCAGUCUCCCAAGGAGAACAUUAACUCAUUCAUGAGAUAGGAUCUCCAUGACCCCCGCAGCUUCUCCAGGGCCCCUCCUCCUCAGUGUAACUCUGGGAAGCUGUCUUAACGUGGAUUAGGUUUGAUGAACACAAUCACAUCCCAGCAAAAGGCAACAGGUUGAUGACAGCAGCGAGGGGUGACACUGGCAAAAGUAGCUCAUUUUCAGAUGUGCAUAUCUCUUAUUCUACACAUGACAUUUAAUCCUUGUAGACUAUUGGAGUGACACAGUAUUUCAUCACAGCAAUCAGGUCUCCCUUCCUUCCCCCUCUGUCCCUUAUACCACAGUCUCUUUCCUAGAAUGAACUAUUUCAAUGUGCUGCAUAUUUAGCGUCCCCUCUGCCUUUCUAACAACCAAGAAAAAUGAGAUGAAGGCAGUGCGGAAGGGAUCAUUUUCCCCCUACAUUUUCAUUGAAGAUCUAAAAAGAAAGAAGUUGGUUAGGACUGGGGAGAGUGGAGUUGAUAUUUGAUAAUAUACAGUUAGAAGUUGGAAAGCUCACCAAAUAUUUUAAAGGAAAAUUUUAGUAGAGAUAACUGCAGAGUAGUGAGAGCGGUGAGAGGCAGCAGAGAGAACAGAUAGCAAGAAGAGACUUGGGGGAUUUCCUCAUACCCAGCCCAAGGCUGGAAUGUAGACAGUGGACUCGCCACACGACACUAAGCCCUGGUUGGUACAGACUUUUUCCCAAGAGCAAAGCAGGCUACUCUGUAUAUGGGAUGGGAAGACAGAGCCUGAAGCCCUGACCUGAACUAUGCACAGACACACAUGCAGCCAGAACACCCAUACUCACUAAAUAAAAUAUCUUUAAUAAUAAAAAUAAAUAAAAAAUCCUUAUAAAAGAAAUGAUAAAAAAAAACCCUGAAGACCUACUUAAAUAGUGGUUUAUGUACAAGGCAGAUCUGUAUUGGUUGUUUGCCAUGGAAGUGUGCUUAUUUAUUUUUAAGUAGUUAUUUUUUUUUGUGUGUGUAUGUAUGUGCUUAAAUGUAUGUCUGCAUACCAACACAUGCAUGCAGGAGCCCACGGAGUUCGGCAGAGCCAUUGGAUCCCCUGGGACUGGAGUUACAGAUGGUUGUGAGGCACCAUAUGGGUGCUGAGAGUUGAACCUGAGUCUUUUGCAAGACUAGUAAGUGUUCUUAACCAUUAAGCCAUCCCUCUAGCUCCAUGUAUGGUUAUUUUACUAGAGAGAAAUAUGUUUAUAUAAAACAUUUACAUUAUGGCCCAUUCAGACAUAUCUUUAUGUUCAUUCCUGUGUAAAGUUUGGCACUUUACUGGCUCAUCAUUCAAUAAACAUCUGUGGCACACAUGCA